GGAAGUAAAAGUCGUGACAAGGUCUCCGUUGGUGAACCAGCGGAGGGAUCAUUACAGGACUCGCAAGACUCCUACAACCCUGUGAACUUAACUAUAAGCACGUUGCUUCGGCGGGUGUCUCGGAGGGGGUUCUCCCUCCCCGAGACGCUAAACCCGCCGGCAGCCUACUAUACUCUGUCUCUUUGCGUUGGCAUCUCGAGUACAAUCAAACAAGUUAAAACUUUCAACAACGGAUCUCUUGGUUCUG
Molecule: unclassified non-coding RNA, 247 nt
Filed under: plant metagenome
Description: partial contains small subunit ribosomal RNA, internal transcribed spacer 1, and 5.8S ribosomal RNA
Rfam family: Eukaryotic small subunit ribosomal RNA (bases 1-54)
Source: RNAcentral